GACGAACGCUGGCGGCGUGCUUAACACAUGCAAGUCGAACGGAAAGGCCCUGCUUUUGUGGGGUGCUCGAGCGGCGAACGGGUGAGUAACACGUGAGUAACCUGCCCUUGACUUUGGGAUAACUUCAGGAAACUGGGGCUAAUACCGGAUAGGGGCUCCUGCUGCAUGGUGGGGGUUGGAAAGUUUCGGCGGUUGGGGAUGGACUCGCGGCUUAUCAGCUUGUUGGUGGGGUAGUGGCUUACCAAGGCUUUGACGGGUAGCCGGCCUGAGAGGGUGACCGGCCACAUGGGGACUGAGAUACGGCCCAGACUCCUACGGGAGGCAGCAGUGGGGAAUAUUGCACAAUGGGCGGAAGCCUGAUGCAGCAGCGCCGCGUGCGGGAUGACGGCCUUCGGGUUGUAAACCGCUUUCGCCUGUGACGAAGCGUGAGUGACGGUAAUGGGUAAAGAAGCACCGGCUAACUACGUG
This 468-nucleotide ribosomal RNA is filed under the name uncultured bacterium. RNAcentral's name for it is "partial 16S ribosomal RNA". It matches the Rfam family "Bacterial small subunit ribosomal RNA", at positions 28 to 507 of the family's 1533-position model. The record is from RNAcentral.